GGUCAGGGAUAGCUCAGUUGGUAGAGCAUAGGAUUCUUAAUCUCAGGGUUCAAGCCCCACCUUGGGCA
Molecule: non-coding RNA, 68 nt
Organism: Podarcis lilfordi (Lilford's wall lizard)
Lineage: Eukaryota; Metazoa; Chordata; Lepidosauria; Squamata; Lacertidae
Source: the annotation of a GenBank genome assembly